This 59-nucleotide transfer RNA is filed under the name Leptocentrus albolineatus. RNAcentral's name for it is "tRNA-Arg". Lineage: Eukaryota; Metazoa; Arthropoda; Insecta; Hemiptera; Membracidae. The record is from RNAcentral. RNAcentral also lists the same sequence under 1 other name.
UCAUAGAAGUAAAAAUUACAUUUAGUUUCGACCUAAAAUUAGGAAUAAUUCCCUAUGCU